GACGAACGCUGGCGGCGUGCUUAACACAUGCAAGUCGAACGGAAAGGCCCUGCUUUUGUGGGGUGCUCGAGUGGCGAACGGGUGAGUAACACGUGAGUAACCUGCCCUUGACUUUGGGAUAACUUCAGGAAACUGGGGCUAAUACCGGAUAGGAGCUCCUGCUGCAUGGUGGGGGUUGGAAAGUUUCGGCUGUUGGGGAUGGACUCGCGGCUUAUCAGCUUGUUGGUGGGGUAGUGGCUUACCAAGGCUUUGACGGGUAGCCGGCCUGAGAGGGUGACCGGCCACAUUGGGACUGAGAUACGGCCCAGACUCCUACGGGAGGCAGCAGUGGGGAAUAUUGCACAAUGGGCGGAAGCCUGAUGCAGCAACGCCGCGUGCGGGAUGACGGCCUUCGGGUUGUAAACCGCUUUCGCCUGUGACGAAGCGUGAGUGACGGUAAUGGGUAAAGAAGCACCGGCUAACUACGUGCCAGCAGCCGCGGUGAUACGUAGGGUGCGAGCGUUGUCCGGAUUUAUUGGGCGUAAAGGGCUCGUAGGUGGUUGAUCGCGUCGGAAGUGUAAUCUUGGGGCUUAACCCUGAGCGUGCUUUCGAUACGGGUUGACUUGAGGAAGGUAGGGGAGAAUGGAAUUCCUGGUGGAGCGGUGGAAUGCGCAGAUAUCAGGAGGAACACCAGUGGCGAAGGCGGUUCUCUGGGCCUUUCCUGACGCUGAGGAGCGAAAGCGUGGGGAGCGAACAGGCUUAGAUACCCUGGUAGUCCACGCUGUAAACGGUGGGUACUAGGUGUGGGGUCCAUUCCACGGGUUCCGUGCCGUAGCUAACGCUUUAAGUACCCCGCCUGGGGAGUACGGCCGCAAGGCUAAAACUCAAAGGAAUUGACGGGGCCCCGCACAAGCGGCGGAGCAUGCGGAUUAAUUCGAUGCAACGCGUAGAACCUUACCUGGGUUUGACAUGGAUCGGGAGUGCUCAGAGAUGGGUGUGCCUCUUUUGGGGUCGGUUCACAGGUGGUGCAUGGCUGUCGUCAGCUCGUGUCGUGAGAUGUUGGGUUAAGUCCCGCAACGAGCGCAACCCUUGUUCACUGUUGCCAGCACGUUAUGGUGGGGACUCAGUGGAGACCGCCGGGGUCAACUCGGAGGAAGGUGGGGAUGACGUCAAGUCAUCAUGCCCCUUAUGUCCAGGGCUUCACGCAUGCUACAAUGGCUGGUACAGAGAGUGGCGAGCCUGUGAGGGUGAGCGAAUCUCGGAAAGCCGGUCUCAGUUCGGAUUGGGGUCUGCAACCCGACCUCAUGAAGUCGGAGUCGCUAGUAAUCGCAGAUCAGCAACGCUGCGGUGAAUACGUUCCCGGG
This 1343-nucleotide ribosomal RNA is filed under the name uncultured bacterium. RNAcentral's name for it is "16S ribosomal RNA". It matches the Rfam family "Bacterial small subunit ribosomal RNA", at positions 28 to 1378 of the family's 1533-position model. The record is from RNAcentral.